This 130-nucleotide transfer RNA is filed under the name Thermogladius calderae 1633. RNAcentral's name for it is "Thermogladius cellulolyticus 1633 tRNA". It matches the Rfam family "tRNA". From Rfam's summary of the family: Transfer RNA (tRNA) molecules are approximately 80 nucleotides in length. Their secondary structure includes four short double-helical elements and three loops (D, anti-codon, and T loops). Further hydrogen bonds mediate the characteristic L-shaped molecular structure. tRNAs have two regions of fundamental functional importance: the anti-codon, which is responsible for specific mRNA codon recognition, and the 3' end, to which the tRNAs corresponding amino acid is attached (by aminoacyl-tRNA synthetases). tRNAs cope with the degeneracy of the genetic code in two manners: having more than one tRNA (with a specific anti-codon) for a particular amino acid; and 'wobble' base-pairing, i.e. permitting non-standard base-pairing at the 3rd anti-codon position. The record is from Rfam by way of RNAcentral. Lineage: Archaea; Thermoproteati; Thermoproteota; Thermoprotei; Desulfurococcales; Desulfurococcaceae.
GGGCCCGUAGCUCAGCCAGGCAGAGCGGCGGGCUCCAGAUCCAAACUAUGGGUCAGACGACCCCUCGGGGGAUGAGUUAGAUCUGGAGGGAGUGACCCGUAGGUCGGGGGUUCAAAUCCCCCCGGGCCCA